UACAGAGGUCCCAAGCGUUGUUCGGAUUCACUGGGCGUAAAGGGUGCGUAGGUGGCCAGGUAAGUCUGAUGUGAAAUCUCGGAGCUUAACUCCGAAACUGCAUUGGAUACUAUCUGGCUAGAGGGUCGGAGGGGAGACUGGAAUUUUCGGUGUAGCAGUGAAAUGCGUAGAUAUCGAGAGGAACACCAGUGGCGAAGGCGAGUCUCUGGACGACUCCUGACACUCAGGCACGAAAGCUAGGGGAGCAAACAGG
RNAcentral lists this ribosomal RNA (253 nucleotides) under uncultured bacterium. Its description in RNAcentral is "partial 16S ribosomal RNA". It matches the Rfam family "Bacterial small subunit ribosomal RNA", at positions 524 to 776 of the family's 1533-position model. The record is from RNAcentral.